GAUGAACGCUAGCGGCAGGCCUAAUACAUGCAAGUCGAACGGUAGAUCGGGUAGCAAUACUUGAUUGAGAGUGACGUAAGGGUGCGUAACACGUAUGCAAUCUACCCUCAACAGGAGUAUAGCUCGGGGAAACUCGGAUUAACACUCCAUAACAUUACGAUGUGGCAUCACAUUGUGAUUAAAACUCCGGUGGUUGAGGAUGAGCAUGCGUCUGAUUAGUUAGUUGGAGGUGUAACGGACCCCCAAGACGAUGAUCAGUAGGGGAACUGAGAGGUUGAUCCCCCACACUGGCACUGAGAUACGGGCCAGACUCCUACGGGAGGCAGCAGUAGGGAAUAUUGGUCAAUGGGUGAGAGCCUGAACCAGCCAUGCCGCGUGCAGGAAGACGGCCUUCUGGGUUGUAAACUGCUUUUAUCUGGGGAUAAAAAGCCCAUGCGUGGGACAUUGAAGGUACCAGAUGAAUAAGCACCGGCUAACU
RNAcentral lists this ribosomal RNA (478 nucleotides) under uncultured bacterium. RNAcentral describes it as "bacterial SSU rRNA". It matches the Rfam family "Bacterial small subunit ribosomal RNA", at positions 28 to 502 of the family's 1533-position model. The record is from RNAcentral.